Molecule: long non-coding RNA, 1176 nt
Filed under: Salmo salar (Atlantic salmon)
Lineage: Eukaryota; Metazoa; Chordata; Actinopteri; Salmoniformes; Salmonidae
Description: lncRNA (ENSSSAG00000104128.1, ENSSSAG00020070177.1)
Source: RNAcentral
AAGCUAGCUAGUACCUAUUCCAUUUAUGUGGCGUCGUCAAAGAUGGAAUCAGCAUGCAGAUGAUGCAGAGCAGGCAACAGAUGGCACACAGACAGCAGAGUUGGAGACAGAUAUGCAGGGACAGACUGGCAGAGACAGGGAGUCUCAGUUGAAUCUCACUGACAUCAUCCGGCAGUAAGAAGAUGUCCACUCCACACCAGUAUUUCCCAGCAACCUUCAGGCUCAGUGUAUAUAUGACGACGGUGAAGACUGCAGCAGUGAUGUUGUCGUACACAGAGAAUCUCCCUUCUCUAACCCAGACGUCAUGCUUCCUGGUCCGAAGCUUCUUCAUGUGUCCCUCCACUCCCCUCACAGAGUAAUCCUUCUACCUUCACUACAUCCUACACUACUCCUGUUACAGUACCUUCACUACACCCUACACUACUCCUGUUACACUACCUUCACUACACCCUACACUACUCCUGUUACAGUACCUUCACUACACCCUACACUACUCCUGUCACAGUACCUUCACUACACAACUCCUGUUACAGUACCUUCACUACAUCCUACACUACUCCUGUUACAGUACCUUCACUACAUCCUACACUACUCCUGUUACAGUACCUUCACUACACCCUACACUACUCCUGUUACACUACCUUCACUACACCCUACACUACUCCUGUUACAGUACCUUCACUACACCCUACACUACUCCUGUCACAGUACCUUCACUACACAACUCCUGUUACAGUACCUUCACUACAUCCUACACUACUCCUGUUACAGUACCUUCACUACAUCCUACACUACUCCUGUUACAGUACCUUCACUACACCCUACACUACUCCUGUCACAGUACCUUCACUACGCCCUACACUACUCCUGUUACAGUACCUACACUACACCCUACACUACUCCUGUCACAGUACCUUCACUAUGCCCUACACUACUCCUGUCACAGUACCUUCACUACAUCCUACACUACUCCUGUUACAGUAUCUUCACUACAUCCUACACUACUCCUGUCACAGUACCUUCACUACACCCUACACUACUCAUGUUACAGUACCUUCACUACACCCUAGACUACUUCUGUCACAGUACCUUCACUACACCCUACACUACUCCUGUUACAGUACCUUCACUACACCCUACUCCUGUCACAGUACCUUCACUACACCCUACUCCUGU